UGGGGAAUCUUGGACAAUGGGGGCAACCCUGAUCCAGCCAUGCCGCGUGAGUGAUGAAGGCCUUAGGGUCGUAAAGCUCUUUCGCCUGUGAAGAUAAUGACGGUAGCAGGUAAAGAAACCCCGGCUAACUCCGUGCCAGCAGCCGCGGUAAUACGGAGGGGGUUAGCGUUGUUCGGAAUUACUGGGCGUAAAGCGCACGUAGGCGGACCAGAAAGUUGGGGGUGAAAUCCCGGGGGCUCAACCCCGGAACUGCCUCCAAAACUAUUGGUCUAGAGUUCGAGAGAGGUGAGUGGAAUUCCAAGUGUAGAGGUGAAAUUCGUAGAUAUUUGGAGGAACACCAGUGGCGAAGGCGGCUCACUGGCUCGAUACUGACGCUGAGGUGCGAAAGUGUGGGGAGCAAACAGGAUUAGAUACCCUGGUAGUCCACACCGUAAACGAUGAAUGCCAGUCGUCGGGUAGCAUGCUAUUCGGUGACACACCUAACGGAUUAAGCAUUCCGCCUGGGGAGUACGGUCGCAAGAUUAAAACUCAAAGGAAUUG
RNAcentral lists this ribosomal RNA (540 nucleotides) under uncultured bacterium. RNAcentral describes it as "bacterial SSU rRNA". It matches the Rfam family "Bacterial small subunit ribosomal RNA", at positions 355 to 912 of the family's 1533-position model. The record is from RNAcentral.